UGGGGUCGUGCGAACAGAUAAGGAGCUUGCUCCUUUGACGUUAGCGGCGGACGGGUGAGUAACACGUGGGUAACCUACCUAUAAGACUGGGAUAACUUCGGGAAACCGGAGCUAAUACCGGAUAACAUUUGGAACCGCAUGGUUCUAAAGUGAAAGAUGGUUUUGCUAUCACUUAUAGAUGGACCCGCGCCGUAUUAGCUAGUUGGUAAGGUAACGGCUUACCAAGGCAACGAUACGUAGCCGACCUGAGAGGGUGAUCGGCCACACUGGAACUGAGACACGGUCCAGACUCAUACGGGAGGCAGCAGUAGGGAAUCUUCCGCAAUGGGCGAAAGCCUGACGGAGCAACGCCGCGUGAGUGAUGAAGGGUUUCGGCUCGUAAAACUCUGUUAUUAGGGAAGAACAAACGUGUAAGUAACUGUGCACGUCUUGACGGUACCUAAUCAGAAAGCCACGGCUAACUACGUGCCAGCAGCCGCGGUAAUACGUAGGUGGCAAGCGUUAUCCGGAAUUAUUGGGCGUAAAGCGCGCGUAGGCGGUUUCUUAAGUCUGAUGUGAAAGCCCACGGCUCAACCGUGGAGGGUCAUUGGAAACUGGGAAACUUGAGUGCAGAAGAGGAAAGUGGAAUUCCAUGUGUAGCGGUGAAAUGCGCAGAGAUAUGGAGGAACACCAGUGGCGAAGGCGACUUUCUGGUCUGUAACUGACGCUGAUGUGCGAAAGCGUGGGGAUCAAACAGGAUUAGAUACCCUGGUAGUCCACGCCGUAAACGAUGAGUGCUAAGUGUUAGGGGGUUUCCGCCCCUUAGUGCUGCAGCUAACGCAUUAAGCACUCCGCCUGGGGAGUACGACCGCAAGGUUGAAACUCAAAGGAAUUGACGGGGACCCGCACAAGCGGUGGAGCAUGUGGUUUAAUUCGAAGCAACGCGAAGAACCUUACCAAAUCUUGACAUCCUUUGAAAACUCUAGAGAUAGAGCCUUCCCCUUCGGGGGACAAAGUGACAGGUGGUGCAUGGUUGUCGUCAGCUCGUGUCGUGAGAUGUUGGGUUAAGUCCCGCAACGAGCGCAACCCUUAAGCUUAGUUGCCAUCAUUAAGUUGGGCACUCUAGGUUGACUGCCGGUGACAAACCGGAGGAAGGUGGGGAUGACGUCAAAUCAUCAUGCCCCUUAUGAUUUGGGCUACACACGUGCUACAAUGGACAAUACAAAGGGCAGCUAAACCGCGAGGUCAUGCAAAUCCCAUAAAGUUGUUCUCAGUUCGGAUUGUAGUCUGCAACUCGACUACAUGAAGCUGGAAUCGCUAGUAAUCGUAGAUCAGCAUGCUACGGUGAAUACGUUCCCGGGUCUUGUACACACCGCCCGUCACACCACGAGAGUUUGUAACACCCGAAGCCGGUGGAGUAACCAUUUAUGGAGC
RNAcentral lists this ribosomal RNA (1413 nucleotides) under Staphylococcus sp. SY7. RNAcentral's name for it is "bacterial SSU rRNA". It matches the Rfam family "Bacterial small subunit ribosomal RNA". The record is from RNAcentral. Lineage: Bacteria; Bacillati; Bacillota; Bacilli; Caryophanales; Staphylococcaceae.